CGUCGCCUGCGGUGUUCGACAAGCGGAUCGGGUUACCUCGGACCCUAAUUGAAACACCCCGGGACACACGGCUUGCGCGCAGCGUGUGCAUGUCCGCCUUCGAGCGGGAAGCCUUAUCUGCAGCAGCCCGUCCCACUUGUUGCUCUGGUUCGAGAGCAACGGUUCGCACCGGCACAGGCGGGUGACGC
Molecule: non-coding RNA, 188 nt
Filed under: Pseudomonadota bacterium
Lineage: Bacteria; Pseudomonadati; Pseudomonadota
Description: Proteobacteria bacterium (activated sludge metagenome) 6S RNA
Rfam family: 6S / SsrS RNA
About the family: E. coli 6S RNA was the first non coding RNA to be sequenced, but its function was unknown until recently.
Source: RNAcentral